CGGAGGAUCCAAGCGUUAUCCGGAAUCAUUGGGUUUAAAGGGUCCGUAGGCGGUUUAGUAAGUCAGUGGUGAAAGCCCAUCGCUCAACGGUGGAACGGCCAUUGAUACUGCUAAACUUGAAUUAUUAGGAAGUAACUAGAAUAUGUAGUGUAGCGGUGAAAUGCUUAGAGAUUACAUGGAAUACCAAUUGCGAAGGCAGGUUACUACUAAUGGAUUGACGCUGAUGGACGAAAGCGUGGGUAGCGAACAGGAUUAGAUACCCUGGUAGUCCACGCCGUAAACGAUGGAUGCUAGCUGUUGGGGGCAACUUCAGUGGCUAAGCGAAAGUGAUAAGUAUCCCACCUGGGGAGUACGUUCGCAAGAAUG
RNAcentral lists this ribosomal RNA (366 nucleotides) under uncultured organism. Its description in RNAcentral is "bacterial SSU rRNA". It matches the Rfam family "Bacterial small subunit ribosomal RNA", at positions 526 to 896 of the family's 1533-position model. The record is from RNAcentral.